RNAcentral lists this unclassified non-coding RNA (231 nucleotides) under Cladosporium delicatulum. RNAcentral's name for it is "partial internal transcribed spacer region". The stretch from base 1 to 46 matches the Rfam family "Eukaryotic small subunit ribosomal RNA", at positions 1786 to 1831 of the family's 1831-position model. Lineage: Eukaryota; Fungi; Ascomycota; Dothideomycetes; Cladosporiales; Cladosporiaceae. The record is from RNAcentral.
AAGUCGUAACAAGGUCUCCGUAGGUGAACCUGCGGAGGGAUCAUUACAAGUGACCCCGGUCUAACCACCGGGAUGUUCAUAACCCUCUGUUGUCCGACUCUGUUGCCUCCGGGGCGACCCUGCCUUCGGGCGGGGGCUCCGGGUGGACACUUCAAACUCUUGCGUAACUUUGCAGUCUGAGUAAACUUAAUUAAUAAAUUAAAACUUUUAACAACGGAUCUCUUGGUUCUG